GAUGAAGAACGUAGCUAAAUGCGAUAAGUAGUGUGAAUUGCAGAAUUCAGUGAAUCAUCGAAUCUUUGAACGCACAUUGCGCCCUUUGGUAUUCCUUAGGGCAUGCCUGUUCGAGCGUCAUUUAAACCUUCAAGCUAAGCUUGGUGUUGGGUGACUGUCCGCUUCACGGCGGACUCGCCUCAAAAUUAUUGGCGGCCGGUACAUUUGCUUCGAGCGCAGCAGAAACGCGAACUCGGGCCCGUCGUAUUGGCUCCCAGAAGCUAUCUUCACAAUUUUGACCUCGGAUCAGGUAGGGAUACCCGCUGAACUUAAGCAUAUCAAUAAGCGGAGGA
RNAcentral lists this unclassified non-coding RNA (332 nucleotides) under soil metagenome. RNAcentral's name for it is "partial contains 5.8S ribosomal RNA, internal transcribed spacer 2, and large subunit ribosomal RNA". The stretch from base 1 to 120 matches the Rfam family "5.8S ribosomal RNA", at positions 35 to 154 of the family's 154-position model. The record is from RNAcentral.